CCAAACCCUCCACCAUCAAAUACAAAACCCCCAAACCCUCCACCAUCACUGCCAACCCAAAUCCUUUAACCCCAAAUCAAUACAAAACCCCCAAAUCCCAAAUCUUCAAUUGAUUUGUCAGCCCUAGAGCGCUUGAUUUAUCAAACAAGCUUUCAGCUUCAAUUGAUAGAUUUGUGUCCGCAACAAAAAACGUGCUGAAUCCUAUCAUUAACGACAACCAUGCCUCAAGGAGAUUACAUAGAGCUUCAUAGGAAGAGAAAUGGAUACCGCCCUGAUCAUUUUGAGAGGAAGCGAAAGAAGGAAGCUCGUGAAGUUCACAAGCGUUCUAAAGUUGCCCAAACGGCUUUAGGAAUAAAAGGGUAAGAUGUUUGCUAAGAAACGAUAUGCAGAGAAAGCUCAAAUGAAGAAGA
This 410-nucleotide long non-coding RNA is filed under the name Helianthus annuus (common sunflower). Lineage: Eukaryota; Viridiplantae; Streptophyta; Magnoliopsida; Asterales; Asteraceae. The record is from RNAcentral.